Molecule: transfer RNA, 72 nt
Filed under: Camelus bactrianus (Bactrian camel)
Lineage: Eukaryota; Metazoa; Chordata; Mammalia; Artiodactyla; Camelidae
Also listed under: 2 other names
Rfam family: tRNA
About the family: Transfer RNA (tRNA) molecules are approximately 80 nucleotides in length.
Source: Rfam by way of RNAcentral
AGGGUUAUAGCUCAGUGGUAGAGCACGUGCUUAGCAUGCACGAGGUCCUGGGUUCAACCCCCAGGACCUCCC